Conidiobolus coronatus NRRL 28638 is the source of this 118-nucleotide small nuclear RNA. It matches the Rfam family "U5 spliceosomal RNA". Rfam says of the family: U5 RNA is a component of both types of known spliceosome. The precise function of this molecule is unknown, though it is known that the 5' loop is required for splice site selection and p220 binding, and that both the 3' stem-loop and the Sm site are important for Sm protein binding and cap methylation. The record is from Rfam. Lineage: Eukaryota; Fungi; Entomophthoromycota; Entomophthoromycetes; Entomophthorales; Conidiobolaceae.
CUUCCCUGUCCUUUCCUCAUUAUGUUCGGAUAAAUCUUUCGCCUUUUACUAAAGAUUUCCGUGGCGGAGGGACAUUAAGGGGAAUAUUUUUAAUUUUUGCGACCAGAUUCAUCUGGAC